Molecule: transfer RNA, 64 nt
Filed under: Phrynus sp. 1 SEM-2008
Lineage: Eukaryota; Metazoa; Arthropoda; Arachnida; Amblypygi; Phrynidae
Description: tRNA-Cys
Source: RNAcentral
GGCUUAAUAGUUUAAUAAAAAAUAUUUAAUUGCAAGUUAAGUGAUAUAAAGAGUAUUUAAGCUU